RNAcentral lists this unclassified non-coding RNA (280 nucleotides) under air metagenome. RNAcentral describes it as "partial contains small subunit ribosomal RNA, internal transcribed spacer 1, and 5.8S ribosomal RNA". The stretch from base 1 to 46 matches the Rfam family "Eukaryotic small subunit ribosomal RNA", at positions 1786 to 1831 of the family's 1831-position model. The record is from RNAcentral.
AAGUCGUAACAAGGUUUCCGUAGGUGAACCUGCGGAAGGAUCAUUAAAGAGAAGCGGUUUCGGCCGUGGGGGCUUCGGCUCCCGACUCACACCCUUUGUUUACAUAUACCUUUGUUGCUUUGGCGGGCCUUGGGGUCGUACCCAUGCUACUCAAGGGGUGCUCUGGCAACGGAGCCCCUGUAGCGUGUGCCCGUCAGAGGCCCCAUCAAUUCUGUUUAUCCGUGUCGUCCGAGUAAAAACUAAAUAAUCAAAACUUUCAACAACGGAUCUCUUGGUUCUG